This 518-nucleotide ribosomal RNA is filed under the name Leotiomycetes sp. genotype 25. RNAcentral's name for it is "eukaryotic LSU rRNA". It matches the Rfam family "Eukaryotic large subunit ribosomal RNA", at positions 81 to 601 of the family's 3401-position model. Lineage: Eukaryota; Fungi; Ascomycota; Leotiomycetes. The record is from RNAcentral.
CAGUAACGGCGAGUGAAGCGGUAACAGCUCAAAUUUGAAAUCUGGGCCUUUCAGGCUCCGAGUUGUAAUUUGUAGAAGAUGCUUCGGGUGCGGCUCCGGUCUAAGUUCCUUGGAACAGGACGUCAUAGAGGGUGAGAAUCCCGUAUGUGAUCGGCUGCUUGCGCCCAUGUGAAGCUCUUUCGACGAGUCGAGUUGUUUGGGAAUGCAGCUCAAAAUGGGUGGUAAAUUUCAUCUAAAGCUAAAUAUUGGCCAGAGACCGAUAGCGCACAAGUAGAGUGAUCGAAAGAUGAAAAGCACUUUGGAAAGAGAGUUAAACAGUACGUGAAAUUGUUGAAAGGGAAGCGCUUGCAACCAGACUUGCGCGUUGCCGAUCAUCCGGGGUUCUCCCCGGUGCACUCGGCCUCGCUCAGGCCAGCAUCGGUUUCGGUGGUGGGAUAAAGGCCCCAGGAAUGUGGCUCCUCUCGGGGAGUGUUAUAGCCUGGGGUGCAAUGCCGCCUACCGGGACCGAGGACCGCGCU